Ochotona curzoniae (black-lipped pika) is the source of this 241-nucleotide long non-coding RNA. RefSeq lists it as uncharacterized. The record is from RefSeq and is a predicted model, not a curated record. The transcript has 4 exons. NCBI's taxonomy places the organism in Eukaryota, Metazoa, Chordata, Mammalia, Lagomorpha, Ochotonidae.
AACAGACAAGACACCAACGAAGACAACAUCAACCAUGACAAUGCCAACUGAUGAAACAAGACCGGCGAGGCAGCAGGCCACGGUGAGGUUCCUGGUGAAGAUCAUCUUCCUGAUGUGUUGUGCAGACUGGAGGCCUUUGACUCACAGAAGGAGAUUUUUGGAAUAUCAAAACUACAUGGUGUCGAAACACAGGAAAUCACGAUCUGCUGCUGCAAUAUGAGUGCCUGGUUUCUACGUGAAG